Molecule: small nuclear RNA, 98 nt
Organism: Caenorhabditis elegans
Lineage: Eukaryota; Metazoa; Nematoda; Chromadorea; Rhabditida; Rhabditidae
Source: Rfam
UUAUUUUUUGAAAUGAAGAGAGGCCGUGAAUAGAGAGAAGAUUAGCAUGAACCCUGCGCAAGGAUGACACGCAAAUUCAUAAAGCGUUCCAAAUUUUA